RNAcentral lists this small RNA (99 nucleotides) under Marmota monax (woodchuck). Lineage: Eukaryota; Metazoa; Chordata; Mammalia; Rodentia; Sciuridae. The record is from RNAcentral.
GCUGGGCAUGGUGAUGCCUGUCUGUAACCCCAGUGUCUGGGGAGGCUGAGGCAGGAGGAUUACAAGUUCAAGGCCAGCUUUUGCAAGACCCUAUCUCAA